This 204-nucleotide non-coding RNA is filed under the name Solibacillus sp. R5-41. RNAcentral describes it as "6S / SsrS RNA". It matches the Rfam family "6S / SsrS RNA". From Rfam's summary of the family: E. coli 6S RNA was the first non coding RNA to be sequenced, but its function was unknown until recently. It consists of 184 nucleotides that fold into an extended hairpin structure with a large single-stranded internal bulge. Lineage: Bacteria; Bacillati; Bacillota; Bacilli; Caryophanales; Caryophanaceae. The record is from Rfam by way of RNAcentral.
CGAAUCCUAAGAUGUUCGAUUGAAAUGUUAUUUUACGCUUUUGACCGAACAAUAUAUCGUUGGGAGCUUCUUAUUACCGCUGUAGCAAACAUGCCCCAUUAGUUUUUACGGAGCGGGAAGUUUAACGCAGUGACUAGGGCACCCACCUACAAGAAUGUGGGAUCAAAACGAUGUUGGUAACAUAACGGCAUAAUUGGGAUUCGU